GAGGCGGGGCCAGGACGGCGGGACCGGCCGCUGAGUCCCAGCGAGGGCUGAGCCGGGCGGUGGGAGGAGGUCAGGAUGGUGGGGGAAUGGCAUGCUGGGGACCUCAUGGUGCCCUUAGGGCCUCGGCUGCAGGCAUAUCCUGAAGAACUCAUUCGACAGAGGCCUGGGCAUGACGGGCAUCCUGAAUACCUGAUCCGAUGGAGUGUCCUGAAGUGUGGGGAAGAGGGCAAAGUGGGUGUAGAAGAAGGCAAAGCAGAGCACAUCCUCAUGUGGCUGUCGGCUCCUGAGGUCUAUGCCAACUGCCCUGGGCUGUUAGGUGAGCGGGCGCUAUCUAAGGGACCUCAGCACGAACCAGCUGGGGUUUCAGGAAGCUUUCCUCGAGAUCCAGGAGGCCUGGAUGAAGUGGCAAUGGGAGAGAUGGAGGCUGAUGUUCAGGCGCUGGUACGCAGGGCGGCCAGGCAGCUGGCAGAAAGUGGGACCCCAAGCCUCACGGCCGCUGUGCUCCACACCAUCCAUGUGCUCAGUGCCUACGCCAGCAUCGGGCCCCUCACUGGUGUCUUCAGGGAGACAGGAGCCCUGGACCUGCUCAUGCACAUGUUGUGCAAUCCUGAGCCUCAGAUCCGCCGGAGUGCAGGCAAAAUGCUGCAGGCUCUGGCAGCCCACGAUGCUGGGAGUCGGGCUCACGUCCUUCUAUCACUGAGCCAGCAAGAUGGCAUCGAGCAGCACAUGGAUUUUGACAGUCGCUAUACAUUGCUGGAGCUGUUUGCAGAAACCACAUCCUCUGAAGAACACUGCAUGGCCUUUGAGGGCAUUCAUCUGCCUCAGAUCCCAGGAAAGCUGCUUUUCUCCUUGGUGAAGCGCUACCUUUGUGUCACCUCCCUCCUGGAUCAGCUGAAUAGCAGUCCAGAGCUGGGAGCUGGAGACCAAAGCUCCCCAUGUGCCACAAGAGAGAAAAGCCGGGGACAGCGGGAGCUGGAGUUCAGCAUGGCUGUGGGCAACCUCAUCUCUGAACUUGUGCGGAGCAUGGGCUGGGCCCGGAACCUCAGCGAACAGGGCAUGUCACCUCCCCGGCCAACCCGGUCCAUCUUUCAGCCCUACAUUUCAGGCCCCAGCCUUUUACGCCCCACCAUUGUCACCACCCCCAGAAGACAAGGGUGGGUCUUCCGCCAGCGCUCUGAAUUCUCCAGCCGUAGUGGCUAUGGAGAAUAUGUGCAGCAGACGCUGCAGCCGGGGAUGCGAGUGCGGAUGCUGGAUGAUUAUGAGGAGAUCAGUGCUGGGGAUGAGGGCGAGUUCCGGCAGAGCAACAAUGGCAUUCCCCCUGUGCAGGUUUUCUGGCAGUCGACAGGCCGCACUUACUGGGUGCACUGGCACAUGCUGGAGAUCCUGGGCCCUGAGGAAGCCACUGAGGAUAAGGCUUCAGCAGCUGUGGAGAAGGGGGCAGGGGCUACUGUGUUGGGCACAGCAUUUCCCUCUUGGGACUGGAAUCCUGUGGAUGGGCUGUACCCUUUGCCGUACCUCCAGCCCGAACCUCAGAAGAAUGAGAGAGUGGGAUAUCUGACCCAGGCUGAAUGGUGGGAGCUGCUUUUCUUUAUCAAAAAGUUGGACUUGUGUGAGCAGCAGCCAAUUUUCCAGAAUAUUUGGAAGAACCUGGAUGAGACCCUGGGUGAAAAGGCCUUAGGUGAGAUCUCUGUGUCCGUGGAAAUGGCUGAGAGUCUGCUGCAGGUUCUCAGUAGUCGAUUUGAGGGCAGCACUCUCAAUGACCUGCUCAACUCCCAGAUCUACACCAAGUAUGGGCUGCUGUCUAAUGAACCAAGCAGCUCGUUUACUUCACGAAAUCACUCCUGUACCCCAGAUCCAGAAGAGGAGUCCAAGUCGGAGGCCAGCGUCUCAGAGGAAGAGACUGAGUCCCCCAAAGCAAAGGCCGAGGCCCCUAAGACAGAGGCCGAGCCCACCAAGACAAGGACUGAGCCCCCAAUGGCACAGAGUGAUUCUCAGCUGUUUAACCAGCUUCUAGUGACUGAGGGGAUGACCCUGCCCACUGAGAUGAAGGAGGCAGCCAGUGAAAUGGCCAGAGCCUUGCGGGGUCCCGGUCCUCGCAGCUCCCUGGAUCAGCAUGUGGCAGCGGUCGUGGCCACUGUGCAGAUAUCCAGCUUGGACACAAACCUGCAGCUUUCAGGGCUCUCUGCCCUCUCUCAGGCUGUGGAGGAGGUCACUGAGCGGGACCACCCUCUGGUCCAUCCUGACAGAUCGCUGAGAGAGAAGCUAGUGAAGAUGCUGGUGGAGCUGCUGACCAACCAGGUGGGAGAGAAGAUGGUGGUGGUGCAGGCCCUGCGCCUCCUUUACCUGCUCAUGACCAAGCACGAGUGGCGGCCGCUCUUUGCCAGGGAGGGUGGCAUCUAUGCUGUGCUGGUCUGUAUGCAAGAAUAUAAGACUUCUGUCUUGGUGCAGCAGGCUGGGCUGGCGGCACUGAAGAUGCUGGCCGUCGCCACCUCCUCGGAGAUCCCCACUUUUGUUACUGGCCGAGAUUCUAUCCACUCUUUGUUUGAUGCUCAGAUGACCAGAGAGAUCUUCGCCAGCAUCGACUCAGCCACACGCCCGGGCUCUGAGAGCCUGCUCCUCACUGUCCCUGCAGCCGUGAUCCUGAUGCUGAACACUGAGGGGUCAGGGCAUUACCCUCCCAACUCCAGGCUCCUGCUUAGUCCCAAACCCUGCUACUCCUGUGCUCCAGGCUCAUGUCCUCCACAGAAAUUCCCCUCACAUUGUCACCUCCGGAUUAAGCAUUGGUGGCCCUGCCAACUGUUGUUGGAAGAGAACCCAAGUGGAUUGGGGAUAGGGAGAUUCCCAGAGAGGGCAGAGACACACUGACCUCCCUUUAUGGGUUUGGGAGGAGUGGCCCGAGGUCAGGGGAUCAGAUGUCCUGGCUCAGAGGGCCCACUGGAGCCCUUUGCUCCCUAGCUGCCUGGCCUUCUGUGCUUGCUUUGCUGCUUCCAUUGCAUUCAUGGUCUCUCAGUUUCUUCCUGGUCACCUCCCUUCUCCCAGGUGCUCUUCUGCAGCGAGAAAUGGCUUACUCCUGCUCAACCUGCUUUUGUGCAACCACCACACUCUGGGAGACCAGAUUAUAACCCGAGAGCUGAGAGACACGUUGUUUAGGCACUCAGGGAUAGCACCAGGAACAGAACCUAUGCCAACCACACGCACCAUCCUCAUGAUGCUUCUCAAUCGCUACUCAGAGCCGCCGGGCAGCCCUGAGUGUGCAGCACUAGAGACCCCCAUCAUCCAGGGUCAGGAUGGGUCCCCUGAGCUACUGAUUCGAUCCCUGGUUGGGGGCCCAUCUGCAGAACUACUCCUGGACUUGGAGCGUGUGCUGUGCCAUGAGGGCAGCCCCGGAGGUGCCGUGAGGCCCCUCCUCAAGCGCCUCCAGCAGGAGACCCAGCCUUUCCUCCUGUUGCUGCGGACUCUGGAUGCUCCGGGGCCCAACAAGACUCUGCUGCUGUCUGUGCUGAGGGUCAUAACCCGACUGCUGGAUUUCCCUGAGACAAUGGUCCUCCCCUGGCACGAGGUCUUGGAGCCCUGCCUCAACUGCCUGAGUGGCCCUAGCAGUGAUUCUGAGAUUGUUCAGGAGCUGACCUGCUUCCUACAUCGCCUGGCCUCGAUGCAUAAGGACUAUGCUGUGGUGCUCUGCUGCCUGGGAGCAAAAGAGAUCCUCUCCAAAGUCCUGGACAAGCACUCAGCUCAGCUGCUGCUGGGCUGUGAGCUUCGGGACCUGGUGACAGAGUGUGAGAAGUAUGCACAGCUCUAUAGCAACCUCACCUCCAGCAUCCUGGCUGGCUGCAUUCAGAUGGUGCUGGGCCAGAUCGAAGACCACAGACGAACCCACCAACCCAUCAAUAUCCCCUUCUUUGAUGUGUUCCUCAGGCAUCUCUGCCAGGGCUCCAGUGUGGAAGUGAAGGAGGACAAGUGCUGGGAGAAGGUGGAGGUGUCCUCCAACCCGCACCGGGCCAGCAAGCUGACGGACCACAACCCCAAGACCUACUGGGAGUCCAACGGCAGCACCGGCUCCCACUACAUCACCCUGCACAUGCACCGUGGUGUUCUUGUUAGGCAGCUCACUUUGCUGGUGGCCAGUGAGGACUCAAGCUACAUGCCAGCCAGGGUGGUGGUGUUUGGGGGUGACAGCACCAGCUGCAUCAGCACUGAGCUCAACACGGUGAAUGUGAUGCCCUCUGCCAGCCGGGUGAUCCUCUUGGAGAACCUGAACCGCUUCUGGCCCAUCAUCCAGAUCCGCAUAAAGCGCUGCCAGCAGGGCGGCAUUGACACCCGGGUUCGGGGUGUGGAGGUCCUGGGCCCUAAGCCCACAUUCUGGCCACUGUUCCGGGAGCAGCUGUGUCGCCGAACAUGUCUCUUCUACACAAUUCGGGCACAAGCCUGGAGCCGGGACAUAGCAGAGGACCGCCGGCGCCUCCUCCAGCUCUGUCCCAGACUGAACAGGGUUUUGCGCCACGAGCAGAAUUUUGCUGACCGCUUCCUCCCUGAUGAUGAGGCCGCCCAGGCACUGGGCAAGACCUGCUGGGAGGCCCUGGUCAGCCCCCUGGUACAGAACAUCACCUCUCCUGAUGCAGAAGGCGUGAGUGCCCUGGGAUGGCUGCUGGAUCAGUACUUAGAACAGAGAGAGACCUCUCGGAACCCCUUGAGUCGAGCAGCGUCUUUUGCUUCUCGAGUUCGUCGCCUUUGCCACUUGCUGGUGCAUGUGGAGCCUCCUCCUGGGCCUUCUCCUGAGCCAUCCACUCGGCCCUUCAGCAAGAACAGUAAGGGUCGGGACCGGAGCCCGGUGCCUUCGCCAGUGCUUCCAAGCAGCAGCCUGAGGAACAUAACCCAGUGCUGGCUGAGCGUGGUGCAGGAGCAGGUGGGCAGAAGCAAGCAGAAGUCUGCAGAGGGGAGGGGCUGCUCCUUUUAUGUCAUUUCUUGCCUUUCUCCUCAGGUCGGCAGAUUCCUGGCUGCAGCUUGGAGGGCCCCAGACUUUGUGCCUCGUUACUGUAAACUCUAUGAGCACUUGCAGAGAGCAGGCUCCGAGCUGUUUGGGCCUCGGGCAGCCUUCACGCUGGCUCUGCGCAGUGGCUUCUCUGGUGCCUUGCUGCAGCAGUCCUUCCUCACUGCUGCUCACAUGAGUGAGCAGUUUGCCAGGUACAUUGACCAACAGAUCCAGGGUGGCCUGAUUGGUGGAGCCCCUGGAGUGGAAAUGCUGGGACAGCUUCAGCGGCACCUGGAACCCAUUAUGGUCCUUUCUGGUCUGGAACUGGCCACAACUUUUGAGCACUUCUAUCAGCAUUAUAUGGCGGACCGUCUCCUGAGCUUUGGUUCGAGCUGGCUGGAGGGGGCUGUGCUAGAGCAGAUUGGCCUCUGUUUUCCCAACCGCCUCCCCCAGCUGAUGCUGCAGAGCCUGAGCACCUCUGAGGAGCUGCAGCGCCAGUUCCACCUCUUCCAGCUCCAGCGGCUCGACAAGUUGUUCUUGGAGCAGGAAGAUGAGGAGGAAAAGAGACUAGAGGAAGAGGAGGAGGAAGAGGAGGAAGAGGAAGCUGAGAAAGAAUUAUUUAUCGAAGAUCCAAGUCCAGCCAUUUCUAUACUGGUCCUGUCACCACGCUGCUGGCCGGUCUCCCCACUCUGCUACCUGCACCAUCCCAGAAAGUGCCUUCCCACAGAAUUCUGUGAUGCCCUUGGCCGUUUCUCCAGUUUCUACAGCCACAGUCAGAACCAUCCAGUCCUGGACAUGGGACCACAUCGGCGACUGCAGUGGACGUGGCUGGGCCGGGCUGAGCUGCAGUUUGGGAACCAGACACUGCAUGUGUCUACCGUGCAGAUGUGGCUGCUGCUGAAAUUCAAUCAGACAGAGGAGGUGUCAGUAGAGACCUUGCUGAAGGAUUCUGACCUCUCCCCAGAGCUGCUGCUCCAGGCACUUGUGCCCCUCACCUCGGGGAAUGGCCCUUUGACCCUGCAUGAGGGCCAGGACUUUCCACACAGGGGUGUGCUGCAGCUUCAUGAGCCUGGGCCCCAGCGCAGUGGGGAGGCCCUGUGGCUGAUACCUUCCCAGGCAUACCUGAACGUAGAGAAGGAUGAGGGCCGAACCCUGGAACAGAAGAGGAAUCUCUUGAGCUGUCUUCUUGUUCGUAUUCUCAAAGCCCAUGGGGAAAAGGGCCUCCACAUUGAUCAGCUGGUUUGUCUGGUGCUGGAGGCCUGGCAGAAGGGUCCAAAUCCUCCUGGAACCCUGGGCCACACUGUUGCUGGGGGUGUGGCCUGUACCAGUACAGAUGUCCUCUCUUGCAUCCUGCACCUCUUAGGCCAGGGCUACGUGAAACGGCGUGAUGACCGGCCCCAGAUCCUGAUGUAUGCUGCUCCAGAGCCCAUGGGGCCCUGCCGGGGUCAGGCAGAUGUCCCUUUCUGUGGCAGCCAGAGCAAAACCUCCAAGCCUAGCCCAGAAGCUGUGGCUACCCUGGCAUCUCUACAGUUGCCUGCAGGCCGCACCAUGAGCCCCCAGGAAGUAGAAGGGUUGAUGAAGCAGACGGUGUGUCAGGUGCAGGAGACGCUGAACUUAGAGCCAGAUGUCGCUCAGCACCUUUUGGCUCAUUCCCACUGGGGCGCUGAACAGCUGCUGCAGAGCUACAGUGAGGACCCUGAGCCACUGCUGCUGGCAGCUGGGCUGUGCGUACCCCAGGCCCAGGCUGUACCCGCACGGCCUGACCACUGCCCCGUCUGUGUGAGCCCCCUGGGGUGUGACGACGACCUGCCCUCUCUCUGCUGCAUGCACUAUUGCUGUAAGUCUUGCUGGAAUGAGUACCUGACAACUCGGAUCGAGCAGAACCUUGUUUUGAAUUGCACCUGCCCCAUUGCCGACUGCCCUGCCCAGCCCACUGGAGCCUUCAUUCGUGCCAUCGUCUCCUCACCAGAGGUCAUCUCCAAGUAUGAGAAGGCGCUCCUGCGUGGCUAUGUGGAGAGCUGCUCCAACCUGACCUGGUGCACCAACCCCCAGGGCUGCGACCGCAUCUUGUGCCGCCAGGGCCUGGGCUGUGGGACCACCUGCUCCAAGUGUGGCUGGGCCUCUUGCUUCAACUGUAGUUUCCCUGAGGCACACUACCCUGCUAGCUGUGGCCAUAUGUCUCAGUGGGUCGAUGACGGUGGCUACUACGACGGCAUGAGCGUGGAGGCGCAGAGCAAGCACCUGGCCAAGCUCAUCUCCAAGCGCUGUCCCAGCUGUCAGGCUCCCAUCGAGAAGAACGAGGGGUGCCUGCACAUGACCUGUGCCAAAUGUAACCAUGGAUUCUGCUGGCGCUGCCUCAAGUCCUGGAAGCCAAAUCACAAAGACUAUUACAACUGCUCUGCCAUGGUAAGCAAGGCAGCUCGCCAGGAGAAGCGGUUUCAGGACUAUAAUGAGAGGUGCACUUUCCAUCACCAGGCGCGGGAGUUUGCCGUGAACUUGCGGAACCGGGUGUCGGCCAUCCAUGAAGUGCCACCGCCCAGAUCCUUCACCUUCCUCAAUGAUGCCUGCCAGGGACUGGAGCAGGCUCGGAAGGUGCUGGCCUACGCCUGCGUGUACAGCUUCUACAGCCAGGACGCGGAGUACAUGGAUGUGGUGGAGCAGCAGACAGAGAACCUGGAGCUGCACACCAAUGCCCUGCAGAUCCUCCUGGAGGAGACCCUGCUGCGGUGCAGAGACCUGGCCUCCUCCCUGCGCCUCCUGCGGGCCGACUGCCUCAGCACGGGCAUAGAGCUGCUCCGGCGGAUCCAGGAGAGGCUGCUUGCCAUCCUGCAGCAUUCCGCCCAGGAUUUCCGGGUUGGUCUUCAGAGUCCAUCAGUAGAGGCCUGGGAGGCAAAAGGACCCAACAUGCCCGGCAGUCAGCCCCAGGCCUCCUCAGGGCCAGAGGUGGAAGAGGAGGAGGAAGACGAUGAGGAUGAUGUGCCCGAGUGGCAGCAGGAUGAGUUUGAUGAGGAGCUGGACAAUGACAGCUUCUCCUACGAUGAGUCUGAGAACCUGGACCAAGAGACUUUCUUCUUUGGUGAUGAGGAGGAGGAUGAAGAUGAGGCCUAUGACUGAGGGGGCAGAUGCAGGAAACACCUAGAGCAGCCCCAGAGUCACAGGGCUGAGGGGGCGGGAGCUGCCCCUGUCAUGGGGAGGGGGAUUCCCAGCAUCUGUAGUGCCUCCUGUUUGCUGAAUAAAGGUCUCUUUCUCACACACG
Molecule: small RNA, 8225 nt
Filed under: Pongo abelii (Sumatran orangutan)
Lineage: Eukaryota; Metazoa; Chordata; Mammalia; Primates; Hominidae
Description: retained intron
Source: RNAcentral